RNAcentral lists this ribosomal RNA (1192 nucleotides) under Acinetobacter baumannii. RNAcentral describes it as "bacterial SSU rRNA". It matches the Rfam family "Bacterial small subunit ribosomal RNA", at positions 15 to 1210 of the family's 1533-position model. The record is from RNAcentral. Lineage: Bacteria; Pseudomonadati; Pseudomonadota; Gammaproteobacteria; Moraxellales; Moraxellaceae.
GAUCCUGGCUCAGAUUGAACGCUGGCGGCAGGCUUAACACAUGCAAGUCGAGCGGGGAAGGUAGCUUGCUACUGGACCUAGCGGCGGACGGGUGAGUAAUGCUUAGGAAUCUGCCUAUUAGUGGGGGACAACAUCUCGAAAGGGAUGCUAAUACCGCAUACGUCCUACGGGAGAAAGCAGGGGAUCUUCGGACCUUGCGCUAAUAGAUGAGCCUAAGUCGGAUUAGCUAGUUGGUGGGGUAAAGGCCUACCAAGGCGACGAUCUGUAGCGGGUCUGAGAGAUGAUCCGCCACACUGGGACUGAGACACGGCCCAGACUCCUACGGGAGGCAGCAGUGGGGAAUAUUGGACAAUGGGGGGAACCCUGAUCCAGCCAUGCCGCGUGUGUGAAGAAGGCCUUAUGGUUGUAAAGCACUUUAAGCGAGGAGGAGGCUACUUUGUUAAUACCUAGAGAUAGUGGACGUUACUCGCAGAAUAAGCACCGGCUAACUCUGUGCCAGCAGCCGCGGUAAUACAGAGGGUGCGAGCGUUAAUCGGAUUUACUGGGCGUAAAGCGUGCGUAGGCGGCUUAUUAAGUCGGAUGUGAAAUCCCCGAGCUUAACUUGGGAAUUGCAUUCGAUACUGGUGAGCUAGAGUAUGGGAGAGGAUGGUAGAAUUCCAGGUGUAGCGGUGAAAUGCGUAGAGAUCUGGAGGAAUACCGAUGGCGAAGGCAGCCAUCUGGCCUAAUACUGACGCUGAGGUACGAAAGCAUGGGGAGCAAACAGGAUUAGAUACCCUGGUAGUCCAUGCCGUAAACGAUGUCUACUACCGUUGGGGCCUUUGAGGCUUUAGUGGCGCAGCUAACGCGAUAAGUAGACCGCCUGGGGAGUACGGUCGCAAGACUAAAACUCAAAUGAAUUGACGGGGGCCCGCACAAGCGGUGGAGCAUGUGGUUUAAUUCGAUGCAACGCGAAGAACCUUACCUGGCCUUGACAUACUAGAAACUUUCCAGAGAUGGAUUGGUGCCUUCGGGAAUCUAGAUACAGGUGCUGCAUGGCUGUCGUCAGCUCGUGUCGUGAGAUGUUGGGUUAAGUCCCGCAACGAGCGCACCCUUUUCCUUACUGCCAGCAUUUCGAUGGGAACUUAAGGAUACUGCCAGUGACAAACUGGAGGAAGGCGGGGACGACGUCAAGUCAUCAUGGCCCUUACGGCCA